AUUGAACGCUGGCGGCAGGCCUAACACAUGCAAGUCGAGCGAGCGGCGGACGGGUGAGUAAUAUAUAGCAAACUGCCCGAUUGAGGGGGGACAAUACUUGAAAAUGUCUGUAAUACCGCAUUCCCUCAGAUGAGACCAGAGAGGAUUAUCUAGUCGGUGGGGUAACGGCUCACCCAGGCGACGAGCCCUAGCUGGUCUGAGAGGAGGACCAAGCACACGGGAACGGGGACACGGCGCCAACUCCUACGUGAGGCACGAGUGGGGAAUCUUGGAGAAUGGGCGCAAGCCUGAUGCAGCCAUGCGGCGUGUGUGAAGAAGGCCUUCGGGGUGUAAAGCACUUGUAGCGGGGAGGCGUUACCCGCAGAAGAAGCACCGGCUAACUCCGUGCCAGCAGCCGCGGUAAUAC
Molecule: ribosomal RNA, 406 nt
Filed under: uncultured bacterium
Lineage: Bacteria
Description: partial 16S ribosomal RNA
Rfam family: Bacterial small subunit ribosomal RNA
Source: RNAcentral